RNAcentral lists this small RNA (26 nucleotides) under Bombyx mori (domestic silkworm). RNAcentral describes it as "ovarian small RNA-32091". The record is from RNAcentral. Lineage: Eukaryota; Metazoa; Arthropoda; Insecta; Lepidoptera; Bombycidae.
UGACUUUGUUCUUUAAAGACAUGUGC